UACAGGUUGACGAGUAACGGGGUGCUC
RNAcentral lists this small RNA (27 nucleotides) under Bombyx mori (domestic silkworm). RNAcentral's name for it is "piRNA piR-bmo-1806952". The record is from RNAcentral. Lineage: Eukaryota; Metazoa; Arthropoda; Insecta; Lepidoptera; Bombycidae.